RNAcentral lists this ribosomal RNA (508 nucleotides) under uncultured bacterium. Its description in RNAcentral is "partial 16S ribosomal RNA". It matches the Rfam family "Bacterial small subunit ribosomal RNA", at positions 29 to 523 of the family's 1533-position model. The record is from RNAcentral.
AUUGAACGCUGGCGGCACGCCUUACACAUGCAAGUCGAACGGCAGCGGGGGAGAAGCUUGCUUUUCCUGCCGGCGAGUGGCGAACGGGUGAGUAAUACAUCGGAACGUGCCCUGUAGUGGGGGAUAACUAGUCGAAAGAUUAGCUAAUACCGCAUACGACCUGAGGGGGAAAGCGGGGGACCGCAAGGCCGCAUGCUAUAGGAGCGGCCGAUGUCUGAUUAGCUAGUUGGUGGGGUAAAGGCCUACCAAGGCGACGAUCAGUAGCUGGUCUGAGAGGACGAUCAGCCACACUGGGACUGAGACACGGCCCAGACUCCUACGGGAGGCAGCAGUGGGGAAUUUUGGACAAUGGGCGAAAGCCUGAUCCAGCAAUGCCGCGUGUGUGAAGAAGGCCUUCGGGUUGUAAAGCACUUUUGUCCGGAAAGAAAUGGCUCUGGUUAAUACCUGGGGUCGAUGACGGUACCGGAAGAAUAAGGACCGGCUAACUACGUGCCAGCAGCCGCGGUAA